Molecule: ribosomal RNA, 489 nt
Filed under: uncultured bacterium
Lineage: Bacteria
Description: bacterial SSU rRNA
Rfam family: Bacterial small subunit ribosomal RNA
Source: RNAcentral
GAACGCUGGCGGCGUGCCUAACACAUGCAAGUCGAACGGGGUAAGUGAAAUAUCGGAUGGAACUUAACUAGUGGCGGACGGGUGAGUAACGCGUGGAUAACCUGCCUCACACAGGGGGAUAGCAGCUGGAAGCGGCUGGUAAUACCGCAUAAGACCACGGUGCCGCAUGGCAGAGUGGUAAAAGAAUUAUCGGUGUGAGAUGGAUCCGCGUCUGAUUAGCCAGUUGGCGGGUAACGGCCACCAAAGCGACGAUCAGUAGCCGGCCUGAGAGGGUGAACGGCCACAUUGGGACUGAGACACGGCCCAAACUCCUACGGGAGGCAGCAGUGGGGAAUAUUGCACAAUGGGCGCAAGCCUGAUGCAGCAAACCGCCGCGUGAGUGAAGAAGUAUUUCGGUAUGUAAAGCUCUAUCGGCAGGGAAGAAAGGCCCGAAAGGGAGAUGACGGUACCUGACUAAGAAGCCCCGGCUAACUACGUGCCAGCCGCCGC